AGGGUUUGAUCCUGGCUCAGAACGAACGCUGGCGGCGUGGAUCAGGCAUGCAAGUCGAGCGAGAAAGUUCCCUUCGGGGGGUGAGUAAAGCGGCAAAAGGGGUAGUAAUGCAUAAAUAACGUACCCGGCAGUCUGGGAUAACCUCGGGAAACUGGGGGUAAUACCAGAUACGUUGGCCGUCUCAAAGAGGCGGUCAGGAAAGGAGGGGACCUUCGGGCCUUUCACUGGCGGAGCGGUUUAUGUCGUAUUAGCUAGUUGGUAGGGUAAUGGCCUACCAAGGCGAAGAUGCGUAGGGGGCCUUAGCGGGUGUUCCUCACCACCGGAACUGAGACACUGUCCGGACACCUACGGGUGGCUGCAGUCGAGAAUCUUCCGCAAUGGACGAAAGUCUGACGGAGCGACGCCGCGUGAAGGAUGAAGGCUUUCGGGUUGUAAACUUCUGUCAAGUGUUAUGAAUAAUCGACGUUUAAUAUGCGUCGUGAUGACAAAGGCACUGGAGGAAGCCACGGCCAAAUAUGUGCCAGCAGCCGCGGUAAUACAUAUGUGGCGAGCGUUGUUCGGAAUUACUGGGCAUAAAGAGUUCGUAGGCGGCUUUGCAAGUUGGGUGUGAAAUCCCUCAGCUUACCUGAGGAACUGCAUCCAAAACUGCAUGGCUGGGGUCCUUGAGGGGAAAGCGGAAUUCCAGGUGUAGCGGUGAAAUGCGUAGAUAUCUGGGAGAAGGCCAAUGGCGAAGGCAGCUUUCUGGCGAGUGACCGACGCUGAGGAACGAAAGUCAGGGGAUCGAACGGGAUUAGAUACCCCGGUAGUCCUGACCGUAAACGGUGAGCACUUGAUGAUGUGGGCGCUGAUCCCUCAUUGUCGUAGCAAAUGCGUUAAGUGCUCCGCCUGGGUAGUACGAUCACAAGGUUGAAACUCAAAGGAAUUGACGGGGGCUCACACAAGCGGUGGAGCAUGUUGCUUAAUUCGAAGCAACGCGAAGAACCUUACCUGGGCUUGAACUGCAGGGAUUAGCAUCCUGAAAGGGUUGUAACGCCGCAAGGUGGAACCUGUAGAGGUGUUGCAUGGCUGUCGUCAGCUCGUGCCGUGAGGUGUCAGGUUAAGUCCUUUAACGAGCGGAACCCUUGCCCUUAUUUACCAGCGGGUCAUGCCGGGGACUAUAGGGGGACUGCCGGUGUCAAACCGGAGGAAGGUGGGGACGACGUCAAGUCAUCAUGGCCCUUAUGUCCAGGGCUGCAAACGUGCUACAAUGGCGAUCACAAAGUGUUGCGAAGUCGCGAGAUGGAGCCAAUCAUCAAAGAUCGUCUCAGUUCGGAUUGCAGGCUGAAACCCGCCUGCAUGAAGUCGGAAUCGCUAGUAAUCGCGGGUCAGCCAUACCGCGGUGAAUACGUUCCUGAGCCUUGUACACACCGCCCGUCAAGCCACGAGAGCUGGGGGCGCCCGAAGCCAUGUUGUCAACCCGCAAGGGAGGCAGGUGUCCACGGUGAAACCAGUAAUUGGGACUAAGUCGAAACAAGGUA
RNAcentral lists this ribosomal RNA (1517 nucleotides) under metagenome. RNAcentral describes it as "bacterial SSU rRNA". It matches the Rfam family "Bacterial small subunit ribosomal RNA". The record is from RNAcentral.